CUAGAGACAAAUGAGGCUGCGUGUUGUCAAUAGGAAGGGGCUUGACGGGGAAGGGAGGAAGUAACGCUGUUGCAGUUGUGCUGUUAUUCUGUACGAGGAACGGAUGUGACUUUGGAGUGUUUGUACGAGUCUUUCAUGUAAGGAGAACGUGAACUUUACAUGAGAAAGUGGACUGGGCACAAGGAAUAUACUAUGUGCAAAAAAACCCCCACAUUUGUGAAUAUCACAGCUUUCCACUUGUAUGUAAAGGUAAAGGUAAAGGGACCCCUGAACAUUAGGUCCAGUAGUGGCUGACUCUGGGGUUGCGGCGCUCAUCUCGCUUUAUUAGCUGAGGGAGCCAGCGUACAGCUUCCGGGUCAUGUGGCCCGCAUGACUAAGCCACUUCUAGCGAACCAGAGCAGCGCACAGAAACACCAUUUACCUUCCCGCCGGAGCGGUACCUAUUUAUCUACUUGCACUUUGACAUGCUUUCGAACUGCUAGGUUGGCAGGAGCAGGGACCGAGCAACGGGAGCUCACCCCGUUGCAGGGAUUCGAACCACCGACCUUCUGAUGGGCAAGUCCUAGGCUCUAUGGUUUAACCCACAGUGCCACACGCGUCCCCUCCACUUGUAUGUAGAUAAGGGCCAAAUUGGUAUCAUCGCCAACAUUUUUUUACCUCCCCGCCCCCACAAAAAAUGCAGCUGGAGGAUGUGUGUGAAAGAGAAAGAUAAAGAAAGAAAUUGAACUGGAGUUGUGAUGCAAGUGUGUUAACUCAGCCCUUCCUAGAUCCAGUGCUUUAUUCUGGGGGAGAUGCAGGGGUACGCAUACUCCUAAACUUUUUCUGAAUCUAAGUUUGGCCUCAUUGAGAGGCAGUAUUUCAAUAUGAGUAGGAAAAUGAGAGUACCCCUAAACAUAUUUUUUCCCAGAAAAAAAGCACUGCCUUGAUCCAAAUCUCUCCCCCCACAUACACAGAUGCUUUUAGCUUAGAAACAAAUAUCCAAUACCCAGGCCUGGAUUUAGGUUUGAUGAGGCCCUAAGCUACUGAAGGUAAUGGGGCCAUUUAUAUGUCCAGCUGUCCCUUCUCAACAACAAAUCGUUGCUGUUUUUUAUGUUGAAUAUAUGCUAUGUGGUAAUUCAGGGACCUAAUAGGUAUCUCAAGCCAUUUGCACAUAACAAAAUACAUAUUUUAUCAAAGUAAUUGAUGAACUGAAAUAAAGAAGGCAUAUAUUAAUAGUGAAAUAAUUAUUAAGCUCUAACUUAAAAUUUUGAAAAUGUACAUCCAGGUUUUUUUUUCUCUUUUAAUUUUUUUGGGGCCCCCAAGAGCGUGGGGCCCUAAGCUAUAGCUUGUUUAGCUUAUACAUAAAUCGGGCACUGCCAAUACCACAUCUAGCAUGGCUGUACUUUGAGCAUGAGAAGAAACUAGAGGUCUUAUGAGGCCUCUUGUCUCAGGAAGAGUGGAAUGAGAAUUAUGCCUCAGCCUUUUACUAGCAUGGCUCUCUGCUACUUCUGUGGGGAAGGAAUGUUCAUUACAUUGGUGGCAUCUGUAUACAAGAUAAGCCAAAGCACUGUUAUGCCUUUAACUGGUGUUUGCAGCAACUGCAAAGCUCAUUAAUAUGUCCAUGUAAACAGCUAAGAUUGGGGGAAAGAAAAGAAAAGAAAUCUGGGGUCAGACUGACCUCGAAUCCAGCGAGAACAAGCAACGGGGGUCAUUUGGCUAGGACUGCAGUCUUAUGUACAUUUCCUUGGGUGUAAGCCCUGUUGAACUCAGGGGGCCUGUGGAUCAUCCAAGCUGGGCUGCACAUCAGGUCUCUCAUCAGGCCAGAAGGUUGGUAAACACAUUAUUUCUUUGUGUUCAGUGAGUCACAGAGAGAAGAGAGCAGCACUAGUCACCAGUUCUAGGAAGCCAGAAGAUCUGAGGAUCAAAAGAUGAUCAAUAACACGAUAUGUGUGUGAUCGAAAGCCAA
RNAcentral lists this long non-coding RNA (1945 nucleotides) under Podarcis lilfordi (Lilford's wall lizard). The record is from RNAcentral. Lineage: Eukaryota; Metazoa; Chordata; Lepidosauria; Squamata; Lacertidae.